RNAcentral lists this ribosomal RNA (876 nucleotides) under Triticum aestivum (bread wheat). RNAcentral describes it as "partial small subunit ribosomal RNA". Lineage: Eukaryota; Viridiplantae; Streptophyta; Magnoliopsida; Poales; Poaceae. The record is from RNAcentral.
AUGCAAGAGUACUCCGUGGAGGUACCGACAUACCCACCUCGCCUCUUCCGGAGAAGGUACCAAAUGCGCCGUAGUUUGUUUGUGAAGAUUGCCACCGAUUGUGAGGCCGCCUCAGAUUAUUUCAAACGUCGUAGAUCCGCCGCCGAUAUCAUGGGGUUUAGUGGGUACCAAAAGAUAUCGGCUGCAAUGCGGGUGAUCGCCUAUGGCAUACCUGCGGACUAUACCGACGAGUAUCUUCGCAUUGGACAAGAUACAACCACGGCGUUCGUCCAUAGGUUUGCAAAAUUGGUCAUCCGGUUGUAUGGUGAUGAGUAUCUUCGGGCACCCAACGAGGAAGAUACAAAGAGAUUGAUGGAGAUGAAUGAAAAAAGGGGAUGGCUGGGGAUGCUUGGUAGUCUUGAUUGCAUGCAUUGGAGAUGGAAAAAUUGCCCAAAAGCAUGGCAAGGAAUGUAUUGCGGUAAAAGCCGUGAUGCUACCAUUGUGCUUGAGGCCGUGGCAUCGGAGGACACAUGGAUCUGGUAUGCAUUUUUUGGUUUGCCUGGAACACUCAAUGAUAUCAAUGUGCUCCAUAGAUCUCCUUUGUUUGCAAGAUUAGUUUCUGGGGAUGCUCCAACUUGCAACUACAAAAUCAUGGACAAUGAGUACUCAAUGGGAUACUAUCUCACCGAUGGAAUUUAUCAUGAGUGGGAAACUCUUGUGAAGUCCAUCAAGGAGAAAAAUGGGGUGCCCUUAACCAGAAAACAUGCUCAUUUCACAAAGGCACAAGAGGCAGCCCCCAAGGAUAUUGAGAGAGCUUUCGGUGUUUUGCAAGCAAGGUUUGCCAUAGUUCGGGGUGCAGCUCGUUUUUGGGACAAAAAACCCUUGGAGAACAUCAUG